Molecule: long non-coding RNA, 449 nt
Organism: Rhipicephalus microplus (southern cattle tick)
Lineage: Eukaryota; Metazoa; Arthropoda; Arachnida; Ixodida; Ixodidae
Source: RefSeq, a predicted model, not a curated record
GCUUGCCAGAUGCCACAGACGGACCUGAACCUCGAAAAGGUGGCCGUUGGUGUUUCGACAGAGGAUCAGCGGCAUCGAUGGGGGCAGUUUUUUCUGACAAGUUAUGACACGACUGAAUACAUGACUAUGAAGGCAUCGUACAUGAUGAUGAGGUCCGGCGUGCGGACUAACCUUUCGUGGUUGCUGCUCAACGCUCACCUCACGGACACCACAGGACGCUGUCUCAAGGAAGGGCCCUUCGAACGCGUGAAAAAGUUCAGACAGUUUCAUUAUCAACCACGGCCGUCGCCUGGUUAGCCAUGGACGCUGCUACGGCUACGAAAUAGACGACGGCGGGCCAGCACAGUACCCCUGUGUUUUGCGUAGUGUACUGCAACAUAUGUGUGGGACCUUGUUUUCUCCUGACUCGCGUUACCAGGUUAAAAAAUAAACGCGCGUGAGCUUUCUGA